Molecule: ribosomal RNA, 109 nt
Filed under: Escherichia coli
Lineage: Bacteria; Pseudomonadati; Pseudomonadota; Gammaproteobacteria; Enterobacterales; Enterobacteriaceae
Description: partial 16S ribosomal RNA
Rfam family: Bacterial small subunit ribosomal RNA
Source: RNAcentral
UUCAUUGAAGAGUUUGAUCAUGGCUCAGAUUGAACGCUGGCGGCAGGCCUAACACAUGCAAGUCGAGCGGUAACAGGGGAAGCUUGCUUCCCGCUGACGAGCGGCGGAC